This 725-nucleotide long non-coding RNA is filed under the name Physcomitrium patens. Its description in RNAcentral is "long non-coding RNA (PPAT_LNC011603)". The record is from RNAcentral. Lineage: Eukaryota; Viridiplantae; Streptophyta; Bryopsida; Funariales; Funariaceae.
UAGGGUUUAGGAUUUGGAUUAGGAUUUGAUUUAGGAUUUAGGAUUUAGAUUAGGAUUUGAUUAGGGCUUAAUUUAGUGUUUAAGGUUUACUUAGAAUUUGGUUUAGGAUUUAGGAUUUGGAUUAGGAUUUGGUUUAGGGUUUAAGAUUUGGAUUAGGAUUUGGUUAGGAUUUGAUUUAGAAUUUAGGGUUUGAUUUAGGAUUUGGUUAGGAUUUGGUUUAGAAUUUGGUUGGGAUUUGGUUUAAGGUUUGUUUAGGGUUUGAUUUAGGAUUUAGGAUUUUAUUAGGAUUUAAGAUUCAAUUAGUUUUGGCCUAAAGUUUGAAUGAAGUUCAAUAGGAUUUUUACUAGAAUUAAAUUAAUAUUGAAUUGAGAUGUAUUUGAGUGAUAUUUGUGAUUCUUUUAAUAUUUAUUUAAAAAUUCUUAUUAUUUGUUUGAAUUUUCUUUGAAGUUUUUUUGAAUUUGAUUAAGCUUGCUUAGCUUUAUUAUGGUCUAAUUAGAGUAUUUUUAGUAUUCUAUUAGAAUUAGGAUUUUGUUAUUGCAAUUUCCAUUCUUCUUUACACAGUCAUGUACCCAGAGUAUUCUCAAGCAAGACUUCACGUAUUACGACACCGCGCCAAUGGACAAGAUAUUCCAAUUUAUUUCAACACCGCCUUGAAUCUAAGACUUCUUUCACUUCAAACUCUUCAUUAUUGUCCACUUCUAGAGGAAGAGAUGGAGCUUGUCUUC